RNAcentral lists this ribosomal RNA (253 nucleotides) under uncultured bacterium. Its description in RNAcentral is "partial 16S ribosomal RNA". It matches the Rfam family "Bacterial small subunit ribosomal RNA", at positions 524 to 776 of the family's 1533-position model. The record is from RNAcentral.
UACAGAGGCCUCGAGCGUUAGGCGGAAUCACUGGGCUUAAAGCGUGUGUAGGUGGAUGCCUAAGUACCUUGUGAAAUCCCAUGGCUUUACCAUGGAAUUGCUUGGUAUACUGGGUGUCUUGAGCCACUCAGGGGCUACCGGAACAAGCGGUGGAGCGGUGAAAUGCGUAGAUAUCGCUUGGAACGCCAAAGGUGAAAACAGGUAGCUGGGGGUGUGCUGACACUGAGACACGAAAGCCAGGGGAGCAAACGGG